CACGGAGUUAGCCGGGGCUUAUUCUCCCGGUACUGUCAUUAUCAUCCCGGGUAAAAGAGCUUUACAACCCUAAGGCCUUCAUUACUCACGCGGCAUUGCUGGAUCAGGCUUGCGCCCAUUGUCCAAUAUUCCCCACUGCUGCCUCCCGUAGGAGUCUGGGCCGUGUCUCAGUCCCAGUGUGGCUGAUCAUCCUCUCAGACCAGCUAAGGAUCGUCGCCUUGGUGCGCCUUUACCACACCAACUAGCUAAUCCUACGCGGGCUCAUCCUCAGGCGAUAAAUCUUUGGACUUAACGUCAUCAUCCGGUAUUAGCAGUCAUUUCUAACUGUUAUUCCGAACCUAAGGGCAGAUUCCCAGCGUUACGCACCCGUGCGCCACUAGACCCCGAAGGAUCUCGUUCGACUUGCAUGUGUUAGGCAUCGCCGCCAGCGUUCGUUCUGUAGCCGAGGAUCGAAAACUCU
RNAcentral lists this ribosomal RNA (460 nucleotides) under uncultured Sphingomonas sp. Its description in RNAcentral is "partial 16S ribosomal RNA". The record is from RNAcentral. Lineage: Bacteria; Pseudomonadati; Pseudomonadota; Alphaproteobacteria; Sphingomonadales; Sphingomonadaceae.